This 378-nucleotide unclassified non-coding RNA is filed under the name plant metagenome. RNAcentral's name for it is "partial contains 5.8S ribosomal RNA, internal transcribed spacer 2, and large subunit ribosomal RNA". The stretch from base 1 to 105 matches the Rfam family "5.8S ribosomal RNA", at positions 50 to 154 of the family's 154-position model. The record is from RNAcentral.
GAAAUGCGAUAAGUAAUGUGAAUUGCAGAAUUCAGUGAAUCAUCGAAUCUUUGAACGCACCUUGCGCUCCUUGGUAUUCCUUGGAGCAUGCCUGUUUGAGUAUCAUGAAAUCUUCAAAGUAAAUCUUUUGUUAACUCAAUUGGUUUCUACUUUGGUAUUGGAGGUCUUUGCAGCUUCACACCUGCUCCUCUUUGUUCAUUAGCUGGAUCUCAGUGUUAUGCUUGGUUCCACUCGGCGUGAUAAGUUAUCUAUCGCUGAGGACACUGUAAAAGGUGGCCAAGGUAAAUGCAGAUGAACCGCUUCUAAUAGUCCAUUGACUUGGACAAUACUUUUAUGAUCUGAUCUCAAAUCAGGUAGGACUGCCCGCUGAACAUAAGC